GGAGGUGUUGCUGAGUGGUUGAAAGCUUUGGUUUGCUA
This 38-nucleotide transfer RNA is filed under the name Ecklonia radicosa. RNAcentral describes it as "partial tRNA-Ser". The record is from RNAcentral. Lineage: Eukaryota; Phaeophyceae; Laminariales; Lessoniaceae.